Molecule: transfer RNA, 73 nt
Filed under: Sandaracinaceae bacterium
Lineage: Bacteria; Pseudomonadati; Myxococcota; Polyangiales; Sandaracinaceae
Description: tRNA-Val
Rfam family: tRNA
About the family: Transfer RNA (tRNA) molecules are approximately 80 nucleotides in length. Their secondary structure includes four short double-helical elements and three loops (D, anti-codon, and T loops).
Source: RNAcentral
GGGCGAUUAACUCAGUGGCUAGAGUGCCUCCUUCACACGGAGGAAGUCCGCGGUUCAAAUCCGCGAUCGCCCA